GAUGUUAAACCCAUGAAAUUUGAUUGAAUUGUGGGAAUUAUAGAAAUGUUGAUGUUAAACCCAUGAAAUUUGAUUGAAUUGUGGGAAUGAUGAAAAUGUUGAUGUUAAACCCAUGAAAUUUGAUUGAAUCGUGGGAAUUAUAGAAAUGAUAAUGUUAAACCCAUUAAAUUUGAUCGAAUUGUGGGAAUGAUGAAAAUGUUGAUGUUAAACCCAUGAGAUUUGAUUGAAUUUUGGGAGUUAUAGAAAUGAUGUUAUUAACCCCAUGAAGUUUGAUUGAAUUGUGGGAAUGAUGAAUAUAAUGAUGUUAAACCCAUGAAAUUUGAUUGAAUUGUGGAAUUGAUGAAAAUGUUGAUGUUAAACCCACGAAAUUUGAUUGAAUUGUGGGAAUUAUAGAAAUGAUGAUGUUAUACCAAUGAAAUUUGAUUGAAUUGUGGGAAUGAUGAAAAUGUUGAUGUUAAACCCAUGAAAUUUGAUUGAAUUGUGGGAAUUAUAGAAAUGAUGAUGUUAAACCCAUGAAAUUUUAUUGAAUUG
RNAcentral lists this long non-coding RNA (531 nucleotides) under Lathyrus oleraceus (garden pea). Its description in RNAcentral is "Pisum sativum (pea) long non-coding RNA (PSAT_LNC041054)". The record is from RNAcentral. Lineage: Eukaryota; Viridiplantae; Streptophyta; Magnoliopsida; Fabales; Fabaceae.